AAAAAAAAAAAAAAUUGUAACCGUGUUAAAACUACAAUGGAUACAUCUUACUUUAAGCAAACUACUAUGUGCGCAAGCUCUUCUAAUUACGUAAGAGCUUCAACCUGUCCACUGAAAGCUACAGACUUCCAUAAUGUUGUCCUUCCAUAAGGAGGAUCAUAAGGGUUAGUUUGUGAGAGGGAGAAAAGUAGGAAAAGUAGUAGGCUAUUUGUGUGAGAUAAGAAGAGCAAGAAAACUUAGUAAAAAUUCCAAGAACUCAGGAACUUUGCAGCCUACCGUGAUUUGUCAGUUUGUGUGUACAAUAUCUCCUGAUCUGGGAAAUAGCAAGUCACGCUGGCUUUCACUCCGCUUUGACAACUUGACUGCUGCAACUUCAGAUCAUGUGUUGACAUUAUAGGCUAACUGUAUCUUGCUCAUCUAGUUUGGCUGCCUCCCUUUAAUCCCUCCGGGCAUCAGCUGUGCCAUGAAGUACCCUCACAUGCGGCUCGACUGUACAUUCCACCGGAGAAAACCGCGCGCGGUGAGGCUGACCCGUCAUAUCUACAGCCUUGUUUAAACUCUCAUUCUGACGGCACCCAUUCACUGCAGAGGAUCCACUGGUGAGCAAGUGAUGUAAUGCUAAAUAUCUCCAAAUCUAUCCCAUCAUCUACAUCUUGGAUGGCCUGAGGACUUCAGACAUGCUGUCCUUCCGGCUCAUCCAGUAAUUACUGAUUACAUUAAUUCUGGUAUGAGCAUCCAGUCACCAGCUGAUGGCAGCCCACGGAGCCAAUGCCUUUUGGGACAGGGAGGCUGUUGGGGAAGUCAAUGACCUCUCUAAGUGAUGAAGGAGAGCAGAAUGAGAUGCAGUCCGGUCCAUUCGGGUCUCAGAGGGGUUGUAAAUAGAUUUGCUUGUUAAAGAAGUACUUUUUCCUGGCUGAUUU
Molecule: long non-coding RNA, 920 nt
Organism: Cyprinus carpio carpio
Lineage: Eukaryota; Metazoa; Chordata; Actinopteri; Cypriniformes; Cyprinidae
Source: Ensembl